Molecule: ribosomal RNA, 339 nt
Filed under: uncultured Glomeromycotina
Lineage: Eukaryota; Fungi; Glomeromycota
Description: SSU rRNA
Rfam family: Eukaryotic small subunit ribosomal RNA
Source: RNAcentral
AGCAGCCGCGGUAAUUCCAGCUCCAAUAGCGUAUAUUAAAGUUGUUGCAGUUAAAAGCUCGUAGUUGAAUUUCGGGAUUGGCGCAUCGGUCGUGCCUCACGGGGUAUGAACUGGUGCAGUCAAUUUCUCACCUUCUGGAGAACCGCGAUGUCCUUAAUUGGAUGCCGCGGGGAACCAGGGACCUUUACUUUGAAAAAUUAGAGUGUUUAAAGCAGGCAUUUUUGCUUGAAUACAUUAGCAUGGAAUAAUAAAAUUAGGACGGCAAUGGUUCUAUUUUGUUGGUUUCUAGGACCACCGUAAUGAUUAAUAGGGAUAGUUGGGGGCAUUAGGUAUUCAAUU